AUUCCCAACUGAAACCCUCGCACCCGAAUCGUCGAUGCACUUGCCCGUCGCCAUCAUUCGUCCCUAUCGUCCCUACGUACACGCACGACUCGAGCAGCAGUCGUGAGACGCCGCCCUCCAUCCAUCGCCCCAGAUCCACCCCUUCGCCGCCGCCGCUUCAUCCAUUCGCCGCCGCCGUUCCAUCGCUCCGCCGCGGAUCCAUCCCUUCGUCGUCGCCCCGCACAUCAAAGCCACCGCCCUCCAUCGGACCAUCCCCGUUUAGGACCCGCCGCGGAUCACGUCCAGGAUCCUGAAUUCUCGCUGGACCAAGGCGGCGUCCACCACGUCAUGGUGUUAUGCUAGCGGCGAUUGAGAGGCGAUCCGGGCUGCUAGGGUUUAACCAUGGCCUGGUCAUGCUGGCACUGGAGCAUGUGAGGUGAGCGCUGCCAGACUCGUCCGCCUCGCCAUCACUGAUGAUCGCGUCGGCUGUGGCCACGUCCCUAGGCUGUGAUGAUGGAGGGAACCGCCAUCACUGCCAGGCUCUCCACCCAUGGACGCGUCGGGUCGCUGCUCGGGGCCAGCCCCCCACUGUGCUAGAUCGCGCCUCGGCUUCAGCAGCCUGACCGUAGGGGCGAAGCAACAACACACUCAUACAGCAGGGAUCAGCCAUGAACCACAUGAUGGCACCGCCGCAAGAUUCCCAAGGGCAGCAAGGUCAUGUACGAGUUGGACAAGAAGGCGAGGCUCAUCAAGGCCAACCGCGUCCUCCACUCCACGGCCGGCCCACACAACUCAUCCUCCGUCUUCAGCAGCUGUGCAAGAGAGAUCGCGGUGACAAGUGAAAGACAGAGAUGAUUGUACAUCCUUGCUCCUUUUCUUCUUUCAGCAUUACACACGUAGCAACACCAUUCUUGCCAUCCAUCCCACAAUGACAAGAGCCUUUCUGGAGCACAAACCAGGGCAAUAUCUUUCGCUUAGAUGUUCAUUUUCAUUUUAAUUCACAACUUUUCCAGAAGGAUCAACCUAACCCGUGAUUUCUAUUUCUUUUUCAGAUCUGCUAUUCGGUAACAUGAUUUGGUGUGAUACUAGCUGACCGUUAAAAUCUGGUUUAGCUUUUAGUCCUAAUUUUUAUGAUAAAAUAAUAGUCAAUGUUCAGAUGCACUAUUGUGGUCUUUCAUCAAGUUGAAACCCAUUUUGAAGUUUCAAUAUCCCUUGAAUUCUUAAUGAGUGGAUGUUGAGGAGUAGUCAAUGUGUUCCGUUUCAUGUAGGUGGAUGCAGUUAUGGUUAUGGUGGCGUACAUCUAGGGCAUUUAACGGUUUAUGUGUGCGGAUACAAGAGGCAGAUUAAUGAUCAUGUUAAGGAGCAUGUUGAUGUUGCUGAGGUAUGCCCCCACCUCUUGAGAAUAUUGAUGACACUAUGAUCUCUUGAUGCCAAUUUCUUCAGUUCGUCGAUCACAUAUUUUUUGGUGCAAAAUGCCUGAAGCUUAUGACAUGGGUGAAGGUGUUAAUCAAGAAUAGAGAUUCUCAGUAGCAAUGCGGCGAUACAGACAAGCAGAGAUCCUAAGGCCAAAGAUAAAAUGAAUCCUUUUGCUGAACAGGAAGCAUGGGAAGAACAUCAAAUAUGUAAUGUUGUUUACUUGGAUUAACCACAUGUAAUCGGUAUUGCGACUGUCUUUAUGAUACCAUAUGUAUGCUCUUUGUUGUAUAUUUAGCAAUUGGUCGACUUGAUUUAGGAAAGUCAAAACUGGAAUUUGGAUCAGAAGAUAGAAAGCGGUCUUCUGAUGAAUGCCGGUUGUACAAGAGCAGCUCUGGUGCUCAGUGGAGGUCCUGAUGUAGUUGAUCUUGGAAGUUCUGAUGCUUGGUGGAGCCAUUCUUGCAGGCUGAAAUUCUGUAUUUUUCUGCAGGUUCUACAAGAGCAGCUCUAAUGCUCGGUGGAACCAUUCUUGGUUAUUAUCCCGUCAGAGUUCUGCCAUC
Molecule: long non-coding RNA, 1952 nt
Organism: Triticum aestivum (bread wheat)
Lineage: Eukaryota; Viridiplantae; Streptophyta; Magnoliopsida; Poales; Poaceae
Exons: 4
Source: RefSeq, a predicted model, not a curated record